GCGGAGGCGCGUGCCGGCCGCGGGGCUGCGGGAGGACCCGGGUGGGGAGCUCCUGGAGGGAGGCCGCCACCUGCGGGUCCCUCGGCCUCG
RNAcentral lists this microRNA precursor (90 nucleotides) under Jaculus jaculus (lesser Egyptian jerboa). Its description in RNAcentral is "miRNA (ENSJJAG00000002469.1)". Lineage: Eukaryota; Metazoa; Chordata; Mammalia; Rodentia; Dipodidae. The record is from RNAcentral.